RNAcentral lists this ribosomal RNA (459 nucleotides) under uncultured bacterium. RNAcentral's name for it is "partial 16S ribosomal RNA". It matches the Rfam family "Bacterial small subunit ribosomal RNA", at positions 338 to 795 of the family's 1533-position model. The record is from RNAcentral.
CCUACGGGUGGCAGCAGUGAGGAAUAUUGGUCAAUGGGCGCGAGCCUGAACCAGCCAAGUCGCGUGAGGGAAGACGGUCCUAUGGAUUGUAAACCUCUUUUGUCGGGGAGCAAAAGACGCCACGCGUGGCGUUCCGAGAGUACCCGACGAAAAAGCAUCGGAUAACUCCGUGCCAGCAGCCGCGGUAAUACGGGGGAUGCGAGCGUUAUCCGGAUUUUUGGGGGUUAAAGGGUGCGCAGGCGGAGGAUGAAGUCAGCGGUAAAAUUGAGGGGCUCAACCUCGACGCGCCGUUGAAACUGGUUGGCUAGAGUGUUGGAGAGGGAUGCGGAAUGCGAGGUGUAGCGGUGAAAUGCAUAGAGAUGGCGCAGAACUCCGAUGGCGAAGGCAGCAUGCCGGCGCAAGACUGACGCUCAGGCACGAAAGUGUGGGGAGCGAACAGGAUUAGAUACCCCGGUAGUC